Molecule: unclassified non-coding RNA, 350 nt
Filed under: plant metagenome
Description: partial contains 5.8S ribosomal RNA, internal transcribed spacer 2, and large subunit ribosomal RNA
Rfam family: 5.8S ribosomal RNA (bases 1-105)
Source: RNAcentral
GAAAUGCGAUAAGUAAUGUGAAUUGCAGAAUUCAGUGAAUCAUCUAAUCUUUGAACGCACCUUGCGCUCCUUGGUAUUCCGAGGAGCAUGCCUGUUUGAGUGUCAUGGAAUUCUCAACUCUAUUUGCUUUUGUGAAUAGAGCUUGGAUUUGGAGGUUUAUUGCUGGUACUUGUGAUCGGCUCCUCUUGAAUGCAUUAGCUCGAACCUUUGCGGAUCAGCUAUCGGUGUGAUAAUUGUCUACGCCGUUGCAGUGAAGCAUAUCAAUGGGCUCGGCUUCCAAUCGUCCUUUACUGGACAAUGACUUUGACCUUUGACCUCAAAUCAGGUAGGAUUACCCGCUGAACUUCAGC